UUAGCUAAUGAAUGUUUUUAAGGAGAGGCAUGAUAGUAUGCUUUGUAUGAAGGGUGAAUCGCAGGGAAGGAAACUAUGGAAGUAGAGAGACUAAUAUGAUGCAUGGAGCAGAAAUCCAGGUAAAUAUGAUGGUGGUUUGAACUAAUUUACUGGCAUAGUAGAUAUAGAGAAUAAGGCAAAAGAGAUAUAAAUGAGAAGUACAAUUGAAUAGAGAUGUUUGGAAGAGAAACUGAUAGAUCUAAAUCUGGACUAGCUAUAGAUGGUCUUGAGGAAGAGAGAAAGCAAUCAACUUUUGGAGGUUAAGCCAUUUAUUCAGAUGUUAACCACUGCGGGAAAGGAUCUAAAACAGUUUGAGGGAAAAUCAUCAUCAUACCACUAUGAUAUUUAGAAUGACCCAUUUACAUUAAUAAACUUUAAGCUCCUCAGCAAGGUCAUGCCUUGGAUUAGAAAAAUACCAAAUAAAUCCUUCCAGCAUAUCCCAUUCUUUCAUAUAUCUAGUAGGAAUAGAAAUUAGAUAAAUGUUAGUCACUAUUAUCCAUGCAAAAUGCCAUUCUUUUUUUUUUUUUUCCUUGCCACAAAGAAAGUGGUUUGGUCAUAUUGAAUAGAGUGACUCACCGACGCCACCUCUGAAUGUCUUACUUUUUCUUUGCUGACAAAGCUCACCUCAGCAACAAGUAGCAAAAACACAGAAGCACUACCACAGGAGGGCUCCCAUGAUUGUUUCCCACUCCUAGGGGACACCAAGAGGCAUAAGGAUGCUGUUGGCAGAGAGCCAGACCUGACUCAUCUUUCCUCUGUACUCGACAAGGUACCCAGCUGGCCCUGCCCUAAACCAUAGGAAUCAUGCCAUAUUGUCUACUGAGCCUCUGAAAAAACACGUCACGGUGUCUGUCCCAUGAUUGCACAACGGUUCUCUUCCAAAAGCGAACCUCCAAUAGACAGCCCACCCCACAAUUCUGCAGGCACAGACAGGCCUCCGGCGCGCAAGCCGCCGCGUCGGCCGCCUCUCCCUUCCGCAUUUUCGGAGCCCGCCAAGCAGAGCCGCGCGGCCGGGACCCGCCGAGGACCGGCCCCGCACGGGACCCCGCGGCCUCGGCUCCUCCUGCAGGGGCCUGGACCUGGUCCCGCAGCUUCUCGCCUCCACUUUGCAGGCGGCGCAACACACCGAGGGACGGGCGGACCGACACAGAUCAUCUGGUUGCGGGACCUUCUACAGCAGGCAAAACCCCGUUUCCUUUGGAAGGUGUGCGGAGGAGUCAGUGGCCGCGGCUGCAGGGGGAGACGUAGGUAG
Molecule: long non-coding RNA, 1291 nt
Filed under: Canis lupus familiaris (dog)
Lineage: Eukaryota; Metazoa; Chordata; Mammalia; Carnivora; Canidae
Description: lncRNA (ENSCAFG00030021601.1)
Source: RNAcentral